AGUGUAACAUAGCUGUCGCAGCAUCAUUAGAGCAGUGGAGCCUUCAGAUGUAAACUUUAGAAAAGAAGAGGGAAGUCAGUUAAGACUGGCAGUGUGCGAAGGCCACCACUGGUUGUGUGGCAAAUAAUGAGCACGUCCUGAACUAGCAGCUCUCAGCCCGGUGGUGGAAACCAGACGAGACAGCUUCUACAGCAAGGACCUGAGCUGGCUCUGUUAAAGCACAGUGAACUCUGUAACCCCUCAACCUAGACAGACUAACGGCCAGCAAAGACUGUCAGUGCCCUGACCCUGCCUGGCAAAUAAAGCACAGCUUGCUCAUGCUGGAAAUAAAAACACUCACUCAAACUCUCUCCAUCUCACUCUCUCUCUCUCACACACCCACACAUACACAAAAGUGUAUAUGAACAUGUGUGCACUC
Long non-coding RNA from Lates calcarifer (barramundi perch), 418 nucleotides. RefSeq lists it as uncharacterized. Lineage: Eukaryota; Metazoa; Chordata; Actinopteri; Centropomidae. The record is from RefSeq and is a predicted model, not a curated record. The transcript has 3 exons.